This 492-nucleotide ribosomal RNA is filed under the name uncultured bacterium. Its description in RNAcentral is "partial 16S ribosomal RNA". It matches the Rfam family "Bacterial small subunit ribosomal RNA", at positions 29 to 507 of the family's 1533-position model. The record is from RNAcentral.
AGUGAACGCUGGCGGUAGGCCUAACACAUGCAAGUCGAACGGCAGCACAGUAGGAGCUUGCUCUUACGGGUGGCGAGUGGCGGACGGGUGAGGAAUACAUCGGAAUCUACUUUUUCGUGGGGGAUAACGUAGGGAAACUUACGCUAAUACCGCAUACGACCUACGGGUGAAAGCAGGGGAUCUUCGGACCUCGCGCGAUUGAAUGAGCCGAUGUCGGAUUAGCUAGUUGGCGGGGUAAAGGCCCACCAAGGCGACGAUCCGUAGCUGGUCUGAGAGGAUGAUCAGCCACACUGGAACUGAGACACGGUCCAGACUCCUACGGGAGGCAGCAGUGGGGAAUAUUGGACAAUGGGCGCAAGCCUGAUCCAGCCAUACCGCGUGGGUGAAGAAGGCCUUCGGGUUGUAAAGCCCUUUUGUUGGGAAAGAAAAGCAGCAGGUUAAUACCCCGCUGUUCUGACGGUACCCAAAGAAUAAGCACCGGCUAACUUCGUG